Molecule: transfer RNA, 66 nt
Filed under: Listeria monocytogenes
Lineage: Bacteria; Bacillati; Bacillota; Bacilli; Caryophanales; Listeriaceae
Description: tRNA-Pro
Rfam family: tRNA
About the family: Transfer RNA (tRNA) molecules are approximately 80 nucleotides in length. Their secondary structure includes four short double-helical elements and three loops (D, anti-codon, and T loops). Further hydrogen bonds mediate the characteristic L-shaped molecular structure. tRNAs have two regions of fundamental functional importance: the anti-codon, which is responsible for specific mRNA codon recognition, and the 3' end, to which the tRNAs corresponding amino acid is attached (by aminoacyl-tRNA synthetases). tRNAs cope with the degeneracy of the genetic code in two manners: having more than one tRNA (with a specific anti-codon) for a particular amino acid; and 'wobble' base-pairing, i.e. permitting non-standard base-pairing at the 3rd anti-codon position.
Source: RNAcentral
CGGGAAGUAGCUCAGAGCACUUGGUUUGGGACCAAGGGGUCGCAGGUUCGAAUCCUGUCUUCCCGA